UGAAAAAGAACCUGAAACCGUGUACGUACAAGCAGUGGGAGCACCCUGUGUGACUGCGUACCUUUUGUAUAAUGGGUCAGCGACUUAUAUUCUGUAGCAAGGUUAACCGAAUAGGGGAGCCGUAGGGAAACCGAGUCUUAAUUGGGCGUUAAGUUGCAGGGUAUAGACCCGAAACCCGGUGAUCUAGCCAUGGGCAGGUUGAAGGUUGGGUAACACUAACUGGAGGACCGAACCGACUAAUGUUGAAAAA
RNAcentral lists this ribosomal RNA (250 nucleotides) under Salmonella enterica subsp. enterica serovar Cerro. Its description in RNAcentral is "partial 23S ribosomal RNA". It matches the Rfam family "Bacterial large subunit ribosomal RNA", at positions 539 to 796 of the family's 2925-position model. The record is from RNAcentral. Lineage: Bacteria; Pseudomonadati; Pseudomonadota; Gammaproteobacteria; Enterobacterales; Enterobacteriaceae.